CAUAGAGAACUCCGCAUUAAAUG
Molecule: non-coding RNA, 23 nt
Filed under: Cricetulus griseus (Chinese hamster)
Lineage: Eukaryota; Metazoa; Chordata; Mammalia; Rodentia; Cricetidae
Source: RNAcentral